This 58-nucleotide transfer RNA is filed under the name Liposcelis bostrychophila. RNAcentral's name for it is "tRNA-Phe". The record is from RNAcentral. Lineage: Eukaryota; Metazoa; Arthropoda; Insecta; Psocodea; Liposcelididae.
GUCUGUAGCUUAAAUAAAGCACAACUCUGAAGAGGUUGGGAUGAUUCAUCUCCAGAUC